CCUGCCUGGGCCUGCCCUAGUGAAGCUUCCUUCAGCUACAGCUGUGUCAGAUAAAAUGGCAGCAGCUGCUGGAGAAGACCAUAACAUAGAUGAAGAGCAGUGUGGUUGCAUUUGGUGUGUCCUGAUAUUAGGCCUAUGUUGUACGCAUGUGAGACUGCUAUAAUAGUUUCCCUUGAAGUGUGUCUGGUAGAUGUGAUCUUGCUGUAAGAUGGGAUCAAGCUGGAGAAGAACUUUUUGUGGAGCACUGCCAGUAUGCAAGAGAGAAUUCUGCUAGAGCUGAUGAAGACCUCUAAAAAUGAGUCCCUUUUGAGUGUUUUAAUGACAGUGUUGGAAAAUCCUUGUUGAUUCUUCCAGAUGGAUGUUUGCAGUAUAUUUUGAAGAAUUUUGUGGUGAAAAUGCUCCACUGAUGAUCACCAUUUUUUGCCAUACUGAGCUAGAAAUAUGAAAGCUUAAUUCCUGUCAGCGAAGACAGUGCUCGCAAGGUUAUGCAAGCCUGCAAAACAGAGGAAUAGAAAGGUUUCCAGAAAUUAUUUACUCAAAACUCAGCCUCUACAAGAGCAACGCCUCAAACCCGCCCUCACCAGAAGCUGCUAUUAAGUGGAUCUCCAUAGCAGCAGUAUCCAGCUGCUCUAUGCUUGUGCAGUCUGGGGAGUACUAAGCUUCGCAAGAAAAUGAAGCGUGUCCAGUUCAGACAGAACCCUCAGAGAUUUUUCCUUGCUAGGUUUUUAUCUGAGCAAACGUGAACUGUGACAUUUUGAAGGCUUGUAACUCACCCAGACUUUGGCAGUCUCAGCAGGAUAGGAAAAGUUUUGUUUCGUUUUAGUUUUCUAGUG
Molecule: long non-coding RNA, 833 nt
Organism: Phasianus colchicus (ring-necked pheasant)
Lineage: Eukaryota; Metazoa; Chordata; Aves; Galliformes; Phasianidae
Source: RefSeq, a predicted model, not a curated record